AUGGAGGCCGGAGCCACGGUGAGCGCCGUGUCCUUUUUCCUGGCGUGCUUGGCGGCGGCUGUGCAGCCAACGUUGGCAGCCAAGGCCGGAAGGGGUGGGAUCUUGCAUAUCCCUUCCGCCGCCGGGCUCGCUCGGGCUCGCUGCCCUUACAGGUGCGGUGGUGUCGCCAUUUACUAUCCGUGGGGGAUAGGGCCUGGCUGCUUCCGGCAAGGCUUCGAGCUCACCUGCGACAACACCGCUGGUCAUAAAACGCUCUUUCUGGCCAAUACUACCACUGAGCUCUUUGGCCUGAAGCCCGGAUCUCGCAGUUUCUGGACACCUGCCAUCCAUUUCAAUGUCACCAUGAAGCCAGGUAUGAAUGACACCUAUAACAUGUCAUGGGAGGCCCCUGUUUAAGGUGUUAUGGCCUCUGAACAAACAAGCUUGUUCGUUGUUGGUUGUGGUGUGGGCGUCUACUUAUUUGGCCAUAAUACCAACGAUCCCAUCGGUAGUUGCAUGAGUAUUUGCCUAGACGACAAAGUGGCCAUGGAGGAGGCAAAUCUAACCCGCGACUACUUUCGUGAUAUUGGGAUGGGCUACUGUCGCAUCCAAUUGGCGCAGGACAUGCGAGCAUUUAGGUUUGUAGUUGACCGCCUCAAUGGUGGCGUCUUAGCACAAUCAGGUCAAGGUCAAGGUCUCCCUACUGGUAUCAAAGUUUUCCUGGCGGGGAAAUAUAAUUUUCAUGUUGCCGACAUCUAUUCAGGUCGGGUAGACAAAAGAAACAUUGAUGAUGCAUUUCUUGGAAUGGCCAUCACGGAUCAACCAAGCUGUGAUAGUGCUCAGAAGAAAAAGUCAAGCUAUGCUUGUGGCCAAAACAGCGAUUGCGUGGAUAUGCCAUCUGGAGGCUACUCCUGUCGCUGCCGCCCUGAUACAGACGACAAAAAUACGUACCUUAUGGAUGGUUGUCAACAACCCACAUUACAAUACCAAUCCUAAAGGAGGUUGCACCAGAUUUUGCGGGAACACAAGCAUUCCCUUCCCUUUUGGGCUUGAAAAAGGUUGCUAUGCUGCUGAAAUGUUUCGACUUAACUGUACAUCAGAAAAUACCAAUUUUUUUGAUCAAAGGGGCAAAUACAUUGUGGCAAACAUUCCAGUGAAUGAAGGAUAUCUUAGUGUUAGAAAAACACAAAACAACUCAAAGUAUGGUGAUGAAGAGCUCAUGGUGCUAGUUGUUGUAGGCAAGGAGGACUGGCAAGUAGGACUCAUGCCUCUAGAUGGCUUUUAUUUAUGUGAAGAAUACAAUAUGAAGAUGUGGUGGUCUGUCGAUAAUAUAACUUGUCCAGAUGCUAUGAGCAAGGAAAGAAGAGCUACGUACGCAUGCCGCAGUGUUAAUAGUAGAUGCAUUCCUGUCACCUGCGGCCACCGGAAUGGGACGAUGCAGCUCGGCUAUCGUUGCCAGUGCUCUCACGGUUAUGAUGGAAAUCCAUAUAUACCGGAUGGUUGCGAAGAUGUCAACGAGUGUUUGUUGAUGAAUACUUGCAGUGGCGUAUGCCAAAAUUUUCCUGGAGGCUAUAGUUGCGGAAGUUGUACUUAUGGAAAAGAGUUUGAUCCAAGAAAAAGGAGAUGUGUCAAGAGACGCAAUCUUCUCAUAGGUAUUGCAAUUGGAAUUGGUUGUGGCCUGGGUGCCAUAAUACUUGCGCUAGGUGCAAAGGCACUUGUUAGCAAGUGGAAGAGAGGCACAAAAAAGAGAAUACGAAGGGCGUACUUCGAGAAAAAUCAAGGCCUACUCUUGGAACAACUAAUAUUAGAUGAAAGCUCCACUGAUAAAAUGAAGAUACUCUCCUUGGAGGACUUAAAUAAAGCAACCAAUAAUUUUGAUGUCAGUCGUGUUCUUGGCUGUGGAGGACAUGGCACGGUUUAUAAAGGAAUUCUAUCUGAUCAACAUGUAGUGGCCAUCAAAAAGUCAAAGCUAGUGGAGCAAACUGAGAUUGACCAGUUUAUCAAUGAGGUUGCCAUCCUUUCACAGAUCAUUCAUCGGAAUGUGGUCAAGCUUUUUGGUUGUUGUCUCGAAACAGAAGUACCUUUGCUAGUUUAUGAGUUCAUAUCCAAUGGCACACUAUAUGAUCUUCUUCACAUUGAUGUAAGUGUUAAAUGCUUACUUUUAUGGGGUGAUCGCAUUAGGAUUGCUGUAGAAGUUGCAGGUGCUCUUGCUUAUCUCCAUUCAGCUGCUGCGAUACCAAUUUUGCAUAGAGAUGUCAAAUCUUCCAAUAUACUCCUAGAUGGCAACUUUACUACCAAGGUUUCUGAUUUUGGUGCUUCAAGAUCUUUAUCACUUGAUCAAACACAUGUAGUGACAAUUGUACAAGGAACUUUUGGUUAUUUAGACCCAGAGUACUACCACACUGGGGAACUGAGUAAUAAGAGUGAUGUUUAUAGCUUUGGAGUUAUACUGGUGGAGCUUCUGAUGAGAAAGAAGCCAAUUUUUAUUAACGAACAAGGUAUAAAACAAAGCUUGGCUCAUUACUUUGUGGAAGGACUUCAGCACGGUGUCCUCACGGAAAUCAUGGAUCGCAAGUGGUGGAAGAAGCGAAACAGAAUGAAAUUGAUGAUAUUGCCUCAAUCGCGGAAGCAUGCUUGAAAGCCAAAGGAAGAGAAAGGCCUACCAUGAAAGAGGUAGAAAUGAAGUUGCAACUCCUAAGAACUAAAAGAUUAAGGAGCCAACUUCCUCCCAUCAAUGAUGGAGAGAUUGAGUCAUUUGGGUAUCUAAAUGGCGCUAGCUCUCAUGCACAGAGCAACAACAUUAUCAGUAAUGUUGGCUUAACACCUACAUGCAUCUCCGGAAAGUAUAGUUUGGAGCAAGAGUUUUUGAAUUCAGCCAGCUUGCCACGCUAG
RNAcentral lists this ribosomal RNA (2871 nucleotides) under Triticum aestivum (bread wheat). RNAcentral's name for it is "partial small subunit ribosomal RNA". The record is from RNAcentral. Lineage: Eukaryota; Viridiplantae; Streptophyta; Magnoliopsida; Poales; Poaceae.